CAGUGCCGGCCCUGAGGGGCGCCGAGACGUGGGAGCUGCUGGCCGCGGCGUGGGCAGUUCAGGGGCUGGGCGGCCGAGGUGUCUUCAAAAACAAACAUAUUUAAAAGAUUUUACUUCUCAUCUCCAGGAAGAACCAGCUAGGAGUAGGGUGCAAAUAGCUAUGGGCAACUUGGCCUCGGCCAUAAGGAAGAUGUGCUGUUGCCCCAGCAACUGAAUGACUUCUGUAAACCCAGGAGUAUCAGGAGGAUCACAGGAGGAGGGGGCCACUCUGCAGUUGUCACAGAUGGAGGAGACCUCUUUGUUUGUGGCCUGAACAAAGAUGGGCAACUGGGGCUUGGUCACACAGAGGAGAUCCCAUAUUUUACCCCCUGCAAAUCCCUCUUUGGCUGUCCCAUCCAACAGGUGGCCUGUGGCUGGGAUUUUACCAUUAUGCUCACAGAAAAUGGUCAAGUUCUAUCAUGUGGAUCCAACUCCUUUGGCCAGUUAGGAGUUCCUCAUGGACCUCGAAGAUGUGUGGUUCCCCAGGCCAUUGAGCUCCAUAAAGAGAAGGUUGUUUGUAUUGCUGCUGGACUGAGGCAUGCAUUAGCUGCUACAGGACAGCACUAAUUGGCUGUGGCAGCUG
This 622-nucleotide small RNA is filed under the name Pongo abelii (Sumatran orangutan). Its description in RNAcentral is "processed transcript". The record is from RNAcentral. Lineage: Eukaryota; Metazoa; Chordata; Mammalia; Primates; Hominidae.